Molecule: ribosomal RNA, 256 nt
Filed under: uncultured archaeon
Lineage: Archaea
Description: partial 16S ribosomal RNA
Rfam family: Bacterial small subunit ribosomal RNA
Source: RNAcentral
UAAUACGGAGGAUGCAAGCGUUAUCCGGAUUUAUUGGGUUUAAAGGGUCCGUAGGCGGGCAUAUAAGUCAGGGGUGAAAUCCGACAGCUUAACUGUCGAACUGCCUUUGAAACUGUAUGUCUUGAGUGAGAUUGAAGCAGCUGGAAUGUGUAGUGUAGCGGUGAAAUGCAUAGAUAUUACACAGAACACCGAUAGCGAAGGCAGGUUGCUAAGUCUUUACUGACGCUGAUGGACGAAAGCGUGGGGAGCAAACAGG